GACGAACCGUCCAAACGUUAUUCGGAAUCACUGGGCUUAAAGGGUGCGUAGGCGGCGCGGAAAGUUGGGUGUGAAAUCCCUCGGCUCAACCGAGGAAUUGCGCCCAAAACUACCGUGCUCGAGGGAGAUAGAGGUGAGCGGAACUUAGGGUGGAGCGGUGAAAUGCGUUGAUAUCCUAAGGAACACCGGUGGCGAAAGCGGCUCACUGGAUCUCUUCUGACGCUGAGGCACGAAAGCUAGGGUAGCGAACGGG
This 253-nucleotide ribosomal RNA is filed under the name uncultured bacterium. RNAcentral's name for it is "partial 16S ribosomal RNA". It matches the Rfam family "Bacterial small subunit ribosomal RNA", at positions 524 to 776 of the family's 1533-position model. The record is from RNAcentral.